AUACGGAGGGUGCAAGCGUUAAUCGGAAUUACUGGGCGUAAAGAGUACGUAGGUGGUUUGUUAAGUCAGAUGUGAAAGCCCAGGGCUCAACCUUGGAACUGCAUUUGAAACUGGCAAACUAGAGUAUGGUAGAGGGGGGUAGAAUUCAUAGUGUAGCGGUGAAAUGCGUAGAUAUUAUGAGGAAUACCAGUGGCGAAGGCGGCCCCCUGGACCAAUACUGACACUGAGGUACGAAAGCGUGGGUAGCGAACAGGAUUAGAUACCCUAGUAGUCC
Molecule: ribosomal RNA, 274 nt
Filed under: uncultured bacterium
Lineage: Bacteria
Description: partial 16S ribosomal RNA
Rfam family: Bacterial small subunit ribosomal RNA
Source: RNAcentral